GCCUGCGCGCACAGGCCCGAGUUGCUCAAAUAAUAAUAAAUGACCCAUUAAAAUCCCCCCCCCCCCCCCCCCCACACACACACACACACAUUCACCGUGAGACUCUUAUGAUUCAAACUGCCACUCAAACGCGAUGCCUGCCAGUCACCCAGGUUGAGCCCGCUGCUCGUGCACGCGCACGCACACACACACACGUGCACUGCAAAGUUUAGAUCAGUGAAUAAGAUUAAGUGUCAUUGUCACAUAAAACAGCCUCCCGUGGCGCAGGAGAAUAGUUGCUGGAAAAGGGGCCUGAUUUGGGAACAGAGACGCCUCAAUGUGCUGCUCUAACUUCUUUCCCCACAAUCUGGGGCCCCAUUGUCUUCCCCCUAUUUUUAAAGUAGUUGGGCCCUCCCCUCUUGUUAGAUAAGAUAGGCUGGUUGUCGCCUCCCCCCCGCUGAGCUCAAAUCCAAGGCCAGUGGAGGAGUGUUGGGGACAUCUCCGCUCGCUUUAUAACCAAAUGACACCCCUUCGACUUCUGAACACGUAGGGGCCUAAAGUGUGCGUUUAUUCUCCAGACCCUCUUUACAGAUCGUACUUUAAACAGCGUGAUCUGUGAAUAAACAAAGCCAGUAAACAAUAGAGUGGAGGCUAUGCCCACAUAUAGGAAGAGUACACACACAAACCAAAUUGCACAAGUGUAAACUUUGAAUAGGACGCCGCAGCUCUGUAAAUUUACACAGACAUUAAAUUUGGUUCUAUUCAUUUUAGACAUAUAAUGCUAAGCUGAUUUUUUUAUAGCACACUGAUCGAUAUCUCUGUAAAAUAAUCAUUUUUUUAACUAGCGGGGCAGUGAAAUCUUUGCUUUGUGCUAAAGUCAACAGUGACAGAGUUUGAGCUCAAAUAAAUGCCGUGAUGUCUGGAGCCCUUUGCAGAAGGCAGAAGGCGAGCUCCCACAAUGGGCUUCUGUGUGGCUUGCCAACAACCGGCACCGGCUAUUUUACGCAGGGCUCUGCUGACUGAAGUGAUCCCCACGGCCCUGAGCGGAGGGGGAGGAGGGCGAGGGAGCCUCCGAGGGGAGAGGGAGCGCUGCGACGCGCGCCCACGUGCACGCGCGCGCACUCAAACACUAACACAAUGUCCCUCUCAGUCCUGGGUUGUGACCGGCCCAUGGCAUUGGCCAGAUGCACAGGGCCUCCAUUUGAAGGACACCUUUCGGUCUCCUACAAGCGACACGUCAGCGUCUUCCCGUCGGCGGAUUUGCCCACGUCUCGGUCCGACCUGUCUGCCAUAUUUAAUAUCGAAGCCCCAGUCAGCGCCGAGCUGA
RNAcentral lists this long non-coding RNA (1306 nucleotides) under Betta splendens (Siamese fighting fish). Its description in RNAcentral is "lncRNA (ENSBSLG00000026203.1)". Lineage: Eukaryota; Metazoa; Chordata; Actinopteri; Anabantiformes; Osphronemidae. The record is from RNAcentral.